RNAcentral lists this ribosomal RNA (361 nucleotides) under Mantidactylus melanopleura. Its description in RNAcentral is "partial 16S ribosomal RNA". It matches the Rfam family "Bacterial large subunit ribosomal RNA", at positions 2012 to 2538 of the family's 2925-position model. Lineage: Eukaryota; Metazoa; Chordata; Amphibia; Anura; Mantellidae. The record is from RNAcentral.
UAGACUGUCUCCUUUUUCAAAUCAGUGAAAUUAAUCUCCCCGUGAAGAAGCGGGGAUGCUCUUAUAAGACGAGAAGACCCCAUGGAGCUUCAAACCCAACUACACCCCUAACUCUUAUAGCCUCACAACCCCCCUAGGCGCCGUGUGCUUGGUUUUAGGUUGGGGCGACCGCGGAGUACAAUAAAACCUCCACAAUGAAUGGGACCACCCCCUUAUCUGAGGGCCACACCCCUAAGAAUUAGAACACUAACAUAAAAUGAUCCAUUACUUGAUCAAUGAACCAAGUUACCCUGGGGAUAACAGCGCAAUCCAUUUCAAGAGCCCCUAUCGACAAAUGGGUUUACGACCUCGAUGUUGGAUC